RNAcentral lists this ribosomal RNA (266 nucleotides) under uncultured bacterium. Its description in RNAcentral is "partial 16S ribosomal RNA". It matches the Rfam family "Bacterial small subunit ribosomal RNA", at positions 793 to 1055 of the family's 1533-position model. The record is from RNAcentral.
GUCCUAGCUGUAAACGGUGCACGUUUGCUGUGAGAGGUGUCGAAUCCUUUCGUGGCGAAGCUAACGCGUUAAACGUGCCGCCUGGGAAGUACGGUCGCAAGAUUAAAACUCAAAGAAAUUGACGGGGCCUGCACAAGCGGUGGAGUAUGUGGCUUAAUUCGAUGCAACGCGAAGAACCUUACCUGGCCUUGACAUGUAUGUAGUAGAAGGGUGAAAGCCUGACGAGGUAGCAAUACCAGCAUACACAGGUGCUGCAUGGCUGUCGU